This 492-nucleotide ribosomal RNA is filed under the name uncultured bacterium. RNAcentral's name for it is "partial 16S ribosomal RNA". It matches the Rfam family "Bacterial small subunit ribosomal RNA", at positions 29 to 507 of the family's 1533-position model. The record is from RNAcentral.
AGUGAACGCUGGCGGUAGGCCUAACACAUGCAAGUCGAACGGCAGCACAGUAAGAGCUUGCUCUUACGGGUGGCGAGUGGCGGACGGGUGAGGAAUACAUCGGAAUCUACUUUUUCGUGGGGGAUAACGUAGGGAAACUUACGCUAAUACCGCAUACGACCUACGGGUGAAAGCAGGGGAUCUUCGGACCUUGCGCGAUUGAAUGAGCCGAUGUCGGAUUAGCUAGUUGGCGGGGUAAAGGCCCACCAAGGCGACGAUCCGUAGCUGGUCUGAGAGGAUGAUCAGCGACACUGGAACUGAGACACGGUCCAGACUCCUACGGGAGGCAGCAGUGGGGAAUAUUGGACAAUGGGCGCAAGCCUGAUCCAGCCAUACCGCGUGGGUGAAGAAGGCCUACGGGUUGUAAAGCCCUUUUGUUGGGAAAGAAAAGCAGCAGGUUAAUACCCCGCUGUUAUGACGGUACCCAAAGAAUAAGCACCGGCUAACUUCGUG